AGUAACGCGUGGGUAACCUACCCUGAAGUUGGGGACAACUCUUCGAAAGGGGAGCUAAUACCGAAUGUGGUCCCCCCCCGCAUGUGGGGGAGACUAAAGGUGGAAUCCUUCGGGAUCUGCCGCUUCUGGAGGGGCCCGCGUGACAUCAGCUUGUUGGUGAGGUAAUGGCUCACCAAGGCUUACGUCUAGCUGGUCUGAGAGGAUGGUCAGCCACACUGGGACUGAGACACUGCCCAGACUCCUACGGGAGGCUGCAGUCGAGAAUCAUUCACAAUGCGCGAAAGCGUGAUGAUGCGACGCUGCGUGGAGGAUGAAGGCCCUAGGGUUGUAAACUCCUGUCAUGAGGGAAAAACCGCACGGAUGUAAAUAGCGUCUGUGUUUGAUGGUACCUCAAGAGGAAGCCACGGCUAACUCUGUGCCAGCAGCCGCGGUGAUACAGAGGUGGCGAGCGUUGUUCGGAUUUACUGGGCGUAAAGCGUACGUAGGUGGUUUCGUGUGUCGGGUGUGAAAGCCCACGGCCCAACCGUGGAAUUGCACUCGAAACUGCGGGACUUGAGUGCAGGAGGGGAGAGCGGAAUUCAGGGUGUAGCGGUGAAAUGCGUUGAUAUCCUGAAGAACACCGGUGGCGAAGGCGGCUCUCUGGAAUGUUACUGACACUGAGGUACGAAAGCGUGGGGAGCGAACAGGAUUAGAUACCCUGGUAGUCCACGCCGUAAACGUUGUGCACUUGGUGUGGGCGGUAUUGACCCCGUCCGUGCCGGAGCUAACGCGUUAAGUGCACCGCCUGGGGAGUACGGCCGCAAGGCUAAAACUCAAAGAAAUUGACGGGGGCCCGCACAAGCGGAGGAGCAUGUGGCUCAAUUCGAUACAACGCGAAGAACCUUACCUGGACUUGACAUGUAACUGCAUGCCCCGGGAAACCGGGGAGGCCUUCGAGGGUGUUACACAGGUGCUGCAUGGCUGUCGUCAGUUCGUGCCGUGAGGUGUUGGGUUAAGUCCCGCAACGAACGCAACCCUUGUGUUUAGUUGCCACCGGUGGUGAUGAGCCACCGAGCACUCUAAACAGACUGCCUGUACAAGCAGGAGGAAGGUGGGGAUGACGUCAAGUCAGUAUGGCCCUUAUGUCCAGGGCUGCACACGUGCUACAAUGGCCGGUACAAUGGGAAGCAAUACCGCGAGGUGGAGCAAAUCCUCAACACCGGUCCCAGUUCGGAUUGGAGUCUGCAACUCGACUCCAUGAGGUUGGAUUCGCUAGUAAUGCCGUAUCAGCUACGACGGCGUGAAUACGUUCCCGGGCCUUGUACACACCGCCCGUCACAUCAUGAAAGCCGUCUGCACCCGAAGUCGCCGAGCUAACCCGCAAGGGAGGCAGGUGCCGAAGGUGUGGGUGGUGAUU
This 1396-nucleotide ribosomal RNA is filed under the name metagenome. RNAcentral describes it as "bacterial SSU rRNA". It matches the Rfam family "Bacterial small subunit ribosomal RNA", at positions 109 to 1476 of the family's 1533-position model. The record is from RNAcentral.